CCUACGGGGGGCUGCAGUGGGGAAUAUUGGACAAUGGGGGGAACCCUGAUCCAGCCAUGCUGCGUGUGUGAAGAAGGCCCUCGGGUUGUAAAGCACUUUCAGUGAGGAAGAACGCCUGGUGGUUAAUACCCAUCAGGAAAGACAUCACUCACAGAAGAAGCACCGGCUAACUCCGUGCCAGCAGCCGCGGUAAUACGGAGGGUGCGAGCGUUAAUCGGAAUUACUGGGCGUAAAGCGCGCGUAGGUGGCUUGAUAAGCCGGUUGUGAAAGCCCCGGGCUCAACCUGGGAACGGCAUCCGGAACUGUCAAGCUAGAGUGCAGGAGAGGAAGGUAGAAUUCCCGGUGUAGCGGUGAAAUGCGUAGAGAUCGGGAGGAAUACCAGUGGCGAAGGCGGCCUUCUGGACUGACACUGACACUGAGGUGCGAAAGCGUGGGUAGCAAACAGGAUUAGAUACCCUGGUAGUC
RNAcentral lists this ribosomal RNA (465 nucleotides) under Vreelandella stevensii. RNAcentral describes it as "partial 16S ribosomal RNA". It matches the Rfam family "Bacterial small subunit ribosomal RNA", at positions 338 to 795 of the family's 1533-position model. The record is from RNAcentral. Lineage: Bacteria; Pseudomonadati; Pseudomonadota; Gammaproteobacteria; Oceanospirillales; Halomonadaceae.